GAUGAACGCUGGCGGCGUGCUUAACACAUGCAAGUCGAACGAAGCACUUACAAUUGAUUCUUCGGAUGAAAGAGUUUGUGACUGAGUGGCGGACGGGUGAGUAACGCGUGGGUAACCUGCCUCAUACAGGGGGAUAACAGUUAGAAAUGGCUGCUAAUACCGCAUAAGCGCACAGGACCGCAUGGUCCAGUGUGAAAAACUCCGGUGGUAUGAGAUGGACCCGCGUUGGAUUAGAUAGUUGGCGGGGUAACGGCCCACCAAGUCGACGAUCCAUAGCCGGCCUGAGAGGGUGAACGGCCACAUUGGGACUGAGACACGGCCCAAACUCCUACGGGAGGCAGCAGUGGGGAAUAUUGCACAAUGGGGGAAACCCUGAUGCAGCGACGCCGCGUGAGUGAAGAAGUAUUUCGGUAUGUAAAGCUCUAUCAGCAGGGAAGAAAAUGACGGUACCUGACUAAGAAGCCCCGGCUAACUACGUG
Molecule: ribosomal RNA, 479 nt
Filed under: uncultured bacterium
Lineage: Bacteria
Description: bacterial SSU rRNA
Rfam family: Bacterial small subunit ribosomal RNA
Source: RNAcentral